UGUUGUUUAUUGCAGACGAAACCUUAGAAUGCAGUUAUCAUUUUGCACUAUGCACUAGAUAGCAAGAUUAUCCUUGAGCAAACGAAGAAGUGAAAUGCUGCCCUGAGUUCUGUUUUCACCAGAAGCUCCAUUCUUUUCUGUCUUAGCUCCCUUUGGUUUCUCAUUGUCGUCCUUGAAGUUUAUGCUGCCUAAAUCUUUUAAUAAAAUGGACGAAACUGGUAGAAGUCUCCUAG
Molecule: unclassified non-coding RNA, 233 nt
Filed under: Hevea brasiliensis (rubber tree)
Lineage: Eukaryota; Viridiplantae; Streptophyta; Magnoliopsida; Malpighiales; Euphorbiaceae
Source: RNAcentral